CCUACGGGAAGGCAGCAGUAGGGAAUUUUCGGCAAUGGGCGCAAGCCUGACCGAGCAACGCCGCGUGAGUGAUUAAGGCCUUCGGGUUGUAAAGCUCUGUUGUAAGGGAAGAACAUUCAGGAUAGGAAAUGAUCUUGAACUGACGGUACCUUACCAGAAAGCCACGGCUAACUACGUGCCAGCAGCCGCGGUAAUACGUAGGUGGCAAGCGUUAUCCGGAAUUAUUGGGCGUAAAGGGUGCGUAGGCGGUUUAUUAAGUSUAUGGUGAAAGUGCGGGGCUCAACCCCGUAUGGCCAUAGAAACUGGUAGACUUGAGUGCAGGAGAGGGCAAUGGAAUUCCAUGUGUAGCGGUAAAAUGCGUAGAUAUAUGGAGGAACACCAGUGGCGAAGGCGGUUGCCUGGCCUGUAACUGACGCUGAAGCACGAAAGCGUGGGGAGCAAAUAGGAUUAGAUACCCUAGUAGUCCACGCCGUAAACGAUGAAUACUAAGUGUUGGAGAAAUUCAGUGCUGCAGUAACGCAAUAAGUAUCCGCC
This 534-nucleotide ribosomal RNA is filed under the name uncultured bacterium. RNAcentral's name for it is "bacterial SSU rRNA". It matches the Rfam family "Bacterial small subunit ribosomal RNA", at positions 338 to 873 of the family's 1533-position model. The record is from RNAcentral.